This 253-nucleotide ribosomal RNA is filed under the name uncultured bacterium. Its description in RNAcentral is "partial 16S ribosomal RNA". It matches the Rfam family "Bacterial small subunit ribosomal RNA", at positions 524 to 776 of the family's 1533-position model. The record is from RNAcentral.
UACGUAGGUGGCAAGCGUUGUCCGGAUUUAUUGGGUUUAAAGGGCGCGUAGGUGGCUUUGUAAGUCAGUGGUGAAAUCUCGGAGCUUAACUCCGAAACUGCCAUUGAUACUGCUUAGCUUGAAUCAGGUAGAGGUGGAUGGAAUAUUACAUGUAGCGGUGAAAUGCUUAGAUAUGUAAUAGAACACCGAUUGCGAAGGCAGUUCACUAUGCCUGCAUUGACACUGAGGCACGAAAGCGUGGGGAUCAAACAGG